UACGGAGGGUGCGAGCGUUGUCCGGAAUCACUGGGCGUAAAGGGCGCGUAGGCGGCGCGGGAAGUCAUCGGUGAAAGUUCAGGGCUCAACUCUGAAUCGGCCGGUGAUACUCUCGUGCUCGAGCACUGUAGAGGCAGGUGGAAUUCCGGGUGUAGCGGUGGAAUGCGUAGAGAUCCGGAAGAACACCGAUGGCGAAGGCAAUCCCCUGGACCUGUACUGACGCUCAUGCACGAAAGCGUGGGGAGCAAACAGG
This 253-nucleotide ribosomal RNA is filed under the name uncultured bacterium. RNAcentral's name for it is "partial 16S ribosomal RNA". It matches the Rfam family "Bacterial small subunit ribosomal RNA", at positions 524 to 776 of the family's 1533-position model. The record is from RNAcentral.